RNAcentral lists this ribosomal RNA (253 nucleotides) under uncultured bacterium. RNAcentral describes it as "partial 16S ribosomal RNA". It matches the Rfam family "Bacterial small subunit ribosomal RNA", at positions 524 to 776 of the family's 1533-position model. The record is from RNAcentral.
UACGGAGGGUGCAAGCGUUGUUCGGAAUUAUUGGGCGUAAAGGGCGCGUAGGCGGUAAUGUAAGUCAGAUGUGAAAUACUUCGGCUCAACUGAAGAACUGCAUCUGAAACUGCAUAACUAGAGUACAGAAGAGGGAAACGGAAUUCCCGGUGUAGAGGUGAAAUUCGUAGAUAUCGGGAGGAACACCAGUGGCGAAGGCGGUUUCCUGGUCUGAUACUGACGCUGAGGCGCGAAAGUGUGGGGAGCAAACAGG